Molecule: ribosomal RNA, 465 nt
Filed under: uncultured bacterium
Lineage: Bacteria
Description: partial 16S ribosomal RNA
Rfam family: Bacterial small subunit ribosomal RNA
Source: RNAcentral
CUACGGGGGGCAGCAGUGGGGAAUAUUGCACAAUGGGCGCAAGCCUGAUGCAGCCAUGCCGCGUGUAUGAAGAAGGCCUUCGGGUUGUAAAGUACUUUCAGCGGGGAGGAAGGGAGUAAAGUUAAUACCUUUGCUCAUUGACGUUACCCGCAGAAGAAGCACCGGCUAACUCCGUGCCAGCGGCCGCGGUAAUACAGGAGGGUGCAAGCGUUAAUCGGAAUUACUGGGCGUAAAGCGCACGCAGGCGGUUUGUUAAGUCAGAUGUGAAAUCCCCGGGCUCAACCUGGGAACUGCAUCUGAUACUGGCAAGCUUGAGUCUCGUAGAGGGGGGUAGAAUUCCAGGUGUAGCGGUGAAAUGCGUAGAGAUCUGGAGGAAUACCGGUGGCGAAGGCGGCCCCCUGGACGAAGACUGACGCUCAGGUGCGAAAGCGUGGGGAGCAAACAGGAUUAGAUACCCCGGUAGUC